AUCCAGUACUGUAGCCAAAGAGGUUUAUCCGAGGCGCAGUCAUUGCUAAUUGAAAACUUUUCCCAAAUUGAGUGCACCUCUAGGCAUCCUCACCAGUGAUACCUGAGAGUAUUGGGCCCUGCAUGCUUUUGCAG
Fukomys damarensis (Damara mole-rat) is the source of this 134-nucleotide small nuclear RNA. Its record names the gene U4. It matches the Rfam family "U4 spliceosomal RNA". From Rfam's summary of the family: U4 small nuclear RNA (U4 snRNA) is a component of the major U2-dependent spliceosome. The structure of U4 snRNA from yeast and human has been reported. U4 snRNA presents a k-turn RNA motif in the 5p-SL related to recognition of Snu13 protein. The record is from Ensembl. NCBI's taxonomy places the organism in Eukaryota, Metazoa, Chordata, Mammalia, Rodentia, Bathyergidae.